GACGAACGCUGGCGGCGUGCCUAACACAUGCAAGUCGAACGGAGUUGCUCCUUCGGGAGUAACUUAGUGGCGAACGGGUAAGUAACGCGUGAGAAACCUGCCUUUCAGUGGGGGACAACAGUUGGAAACGACUGCUAAUACCGUAUAAUGCAAUUGGGACGCAUGUUCUGAUUGCCAAAGAUUUAUUGCUGUAAGAUGGGCUCGCGUCUGAUUAGGUAGUUGGCGGGGGAACGGCCCACCAAGCCUACGAUCAGUAGCCGGACUGAGAGGUUGAUCGGCCACAUUGGGACUGAGACACGGCCCAGACUCCUACGGGAGGCAGCAGUGGGGAAUAUUGGGCAAUGGGGGAAACCCUGACCCAGCAACGCCGCGUGAAGGAAGAAGGCCUUCGGGUUGUAAACUUCUUUUAGUAGGGACGAAGAACGUGACGGUACCUACAGAAAAGCAACGGCUAACUACGUG
This 462-nucleotide ribosomal RNA is filed under the name uncultured bacterium. Its description in RNAcentral is "bacterial SSU rRNA". It matches the Rfam family "Bacterial small subunit ribosomal RNA", at positions 28 to 507 of the family's 1533-position model. The record is from RNAcentral.